Sinocyclocheilus grahami is the source of this 328-nucleotide long non-coding RNA. RefSeq lists it as uncharacterized. NCBI's taxonomy places the organism in Eukaryota, Metazoa, Chordata, Actinopteri, Cypriniformes, Cyprinidae. The record is from RefSeq and is a predicted model, not a curated record. The transcript has 3 exons.
UCAGCACGAGGCUGGGCCACCACAGCCAAGUGUUUCAAUUCCUGAAGAGCUUCCAGAAGAAAUUAGUAUGUAAUGACCGCACUCUGCAAGAAGAAAGGCCCAUUAUGGCUCUCGCUGACUGUACUUGGCUUUCAUUUGCAAGCUAAAUGGAUGCGCGCGAAGCUCAGCAUUCAGGGAAGGAACUGUUGCAAAUGAGAUGGGCCUCGCCGUGUUGGGUGACUGAUGCACUCCUACGUCCAGAUGGUACAGACAGGGCUCUAGAAACCAGCUCGCGCUCUGUCUGCCUGUCCCAUCGCUUCCUAUUCUGUGGGCCUUUUGUCAUCAGCAG